AUAGCGCAUAGUACUGUGAAGGAAAGGUGAAAAGGACCCCGGGAGGGGAGUGAAAGAGAACCUGAAACCAUAUGUUUACAAGCUGUGGAACAUCUUUAUAUGAUGAACCGCGUACUUUUUGUAGAACGGUCCGGCGAGUUACGCUGGCUGGCGAGGUUAAGGGCUGAAGGCCUGGAGCCGAAGGGAAACCGAGUCUGAACAGGGCGAAAUAGUCAGUCGGAGUAGACCCGAAACCGGGUGAUCUAUCCAUGUCCAGGUUGAAGUUGCCGUAAAAGGCAAUGGAGGACCGAACCCACAUCCGUUGAAAAGGGUGGGGAUGAGGUGUGGAUAGGGGAGAAAUUCCAAUCGAACCCGGAGAUAGCUGGUUCUCCUCGAAAUAGCUUUAGGGCUAGCCUCGUAUUAGUUUAGCGGAGGUAGAGCACUGAAUUCCUAAGGGGGCGUCAAAGCUUACCAAGGGAUAUCAAACUCCGAAUGCCGCAUAAAUGAUGUAUGGGAGUCAGACUGCACGAGAUAAGUUGGGUAGUCAAAAGGGAAAGAGCCCAGACCUACAGCUAAGGUCCCAAAAUGUGUGUUAAGUGGAAAAGGAUGUGGGAUUUCGAAGACAACUAGGAUGUUGGCUUAGAAGCAGCCAUCCAUUAAAAGAGUGCGUAAUAGCUCACUAGUCGAGAGGUCCUGCGCCGAAAAUGUCCGGGGCUGAAACACACUACCGAAGCUUGGGAAUUGACGAAUGUUAAUUGGUAGAGGAGCAUUCUUAACGGGGCGAAGCUGUACCGGAAGGAGCAGUGGACUGUUAAGAAGAGAGAAUGCCGGAAUGAGUAGCGAGAGGAAGGUGAGAAUCCUUCCGGCCGAAUAUCUAAGGUUUCCAGAGUAAAGCUGAUCUGCUCUGGGUAAGUCGGGGCCUAAGGCGAGGUCGAAAGACGUAGUCGAUGGAUAACAGGUUGAAAUUCCUGUACUAUCCUGUAACAGAACUGUGGGGACGCAGACAGAGAGCAUAAGCCGGGAAUGGAAAGACCGGUACAAGCGAGGUAGGAGUGCAUCAGGCAAAUCCGGUGCACAAUCUGAAGACGUGAUGUGGGGCGUAAAGCCGGAAGUAUGUGAGCUGGCUGCCAAGAAAAGCCGCUAUUGUUUAUGAUAUACCCGUACCGUAAACCGACACAGGUGGAUGAGGAGAGAAUCCUAAGGCCGACGGGAGAAGCAUUGUUAAGGAACUCGGCAAAAUGACUCCGUAACUUCGGGAGAAGGAGUGCCAUGUAAAAGUGGCCGCAGAGAAUUGGCCCAAGCAACUGUUUAGCAAAAACACAGGUCUAUGCAAAACCGAAAGGUGAGGUAUAUGGGCUGACGCCUGCCCGGUGCUGGAAGGUUAAGGGGAGAGGUUAGCCGUAAGGCGAAGCUUUGAACUUAAGCCCCAGUAAACGGCGGCCGUAACUAUAACGGUCCUAAGGUAGCGAAAUUCCUUGUCGGGUAAGUUCCGACCUGCACGAAUGGCAUAACGAUGGCCACACUGUCUCCUCCCGAGACUCAGUGAAGUUGAAAUGUUUGUGAUGAUGCAAUCUACCCGCGGCUAGACGGAAAGACCCCAUGAACCUUUACUGCAGCUUUGCAUUGAACUGUGAACCGAUUUGUGUAGGAUAGGUGGGAGGCAGAGAAGAGGCCACGCCAGUGGCCUUGGAGCCGACCUUGAAAUACCACCCUGAUUUGUUUGCGGUUCUAACCACGGACAGUGAUCCUGUCUUGGGACCGUGCAUGGUAGGCAGUUUGACUGGGGCGGUCUCCUCCUAAAGGGUAACGGAGGAGUACGAAGGUACGCUAGGUACGGUCGGAAAUCGUGCUGAUAGUGCAAUGGCAAAAGCGUGCUUGACUGCGAGAGCAACAACUCGAGCAGAUGCGAAAGCAGGUCAUAGUGAUCCGGUGGCUCUGAAUGGAAGGGCCAUCGCUCAACGGAUAAAAGGUACUCUGGGGAUAACAGGCUGAUACCGCCCAAGAGUUCAUAUCGACGGCGGUGUUUGGCACCUCGAUGUCGGCUCAUCUCAUCCUGGGGCUGUAGUCGGUCCCAAGGGUAUGGCUGUUCGCCAUUUAAAGAGGUACGUGAGCUGGGUUUAAAACGUCGUGAGACAGUUUGGUCCCUAUCUGCCGUGGGCGUUGGAAGAUUGACGGGGGCUGCUCCUAGUACGAGAGGACCGGAGUGGACGCACCUCUGGUGUACCGGUUGUCACGCCAGUGGCAUUGCCGGGUAGCUAAGUGCGGAAGAGAUAACCGCUGAAAGCAUCUAAGCGGGAAACUUGCCUGAAGAUGAGUCUUCCCGGAGGUUGAACCUCCCUCAAGAGUCGUCCGAGACCAGGACGUCGAUAGGUCAGGUGUGUAAGCGCUGUAAGGCGUUGAGCUAACUGAUACUAAUUGCUCGUGAGGCUUGAUCCU
Molecule: ribosomal RNA, 2415 nt
Filed under: human gut metagenome
Description: bacterial LSU rRNA
Rfam family: Bacterial large subunit ribosomal RNA
Source: RNAcentral